RNAcentral lists this ribosomal RNA (254 nucleotides) under uncultured bacterium. RNAcentral's name for it is "partial 16S ribosomal RNA". It matches the Rfam family "Bacterial small subunit ribosomal RNA", at positions 524 to 776 of the family's 1533-position model. The record is from RNAcentral.
UACGUAGGCAGCGAGCGUUGUUCGGAGUUACUGGGCGUAAAGGGUGUGUAGGCGGUUGUUUAAGUUUGGUGUGAAAUCUCCCGGCUCAACUGGGAGGGUGCGCCGAAUACUGAAUGACUUCGAGUCCGGGAGAGGCGAGUGGAAUUCCCAGUGUAGCGGUGAAAUGCGUAGAUAUUGGGAGGAACACCAGUGGCGAAGGCGGCUCGCUGGACCGGAACUGACGCUGAGGCGCGAAAGCGUGGGGAGCAAACAGG